This 496-nucleotide ribosomal RNA is filed under the name uncultured bacterium. Its description in RNAcentral is "partial 16S ribosomal RNA". It matches the Rfam family "Bacterial small subunit ribosomal RNA", at positions 28 to 506 of the family's 1533-position model. The record is from RNAcentral.
GAUGAACGCUGGCGGCGUGCCUAAUACAUGCAAGUCGAGCGAACGGACGAGAAGCUUGCUUCUCUGAUGUUAGCGGCGGACGGGUGAGUAACACGUGGAUAACCUACCUAUAAGACUGGGAUAACUUCGGGAAACCGGAGCUAAUACCGGAUAAUAUUUUGAACCGCAUGGUUCAAAAGUGAAAGACGGUCUUGCUGUCACUUAUAGAUGGAUCCGCGCUGCAUUAGCUAGUUGGUAAGGUAACGGCUUACCAAGGCAACGAUGCAUAGCCGACCUGAGAGGGUGAUCGGCCACACUGGAACUGAGACACGGUCCAGACUCCUACGAGAGGCAGCAGUAGGGAAUCUUCCGCAAUGGGCGAAAGCCUGACGGAGCAACGCCGCGUGAGUGAUGAAGGUCUGCGGAUCGUAAAACUCUGUUAUUAGGGAAGAACAUAUGUGUAAGUAACUGUGCACAUCUUGACGGUACCUAAUCAGAAAGCCACGGCUAACUACGU